Molecule: ribosomal RNA, 253 nt
Filed under: uncultured bacterium
Lineage: Bacteria
Description: partial 16S ribosomal RNA
Rfam family: Bacterial small subunit ribosomal RNA
Source: RNAcentral
UACGGAGGGGGCUAGCGUUGUCCGAAGUUACUGGGCGUAAAGCGCGCGUAGGCGGGUUGGUAAGUCCGCUGUGAAAGCCCGGAGCUCAACUCCGGAGGGUCGGUGGAUACUGCCAGUCUUGAAGGUGCUAGGGGGAGAUGGAAUUACCGGUGUAGCGGUGAAAUGCGUAGAUAUCGGUAGGAACACCAGUGGCGAAGGCGGUCUCCUGGGGCAUUCUUGACGCUGAGGCGCGAAAGCGUGGGGAGCAAACAGG